GUGCCAGGCCGCGCGGUAAUACCGGCAGCCCGAGUGAUGGCCGAUCUUAUUGGGCCUAAAGCGUCCGUAGCUGGCUGCGCAAGUCCGUCGGGAAAUCCACUCGCUCAACGAGUGGGCGCCCGACGGAAACUGCACAGCUUGGGACCGGAAGGCUCGAAGGGUACGUUCGGGGUAGGAGUGAAAUCCCAUAAUCCCGCACGGACCACCGAUGGCGAAAGCACUUCGAGAAAACGGAUCCGACAGUGAAGGACGAAAGCCAGGGUCUCGAACCGGAUUAGAUACCCCAGUAGUCC
This 293-nucleotide ribosomal RNA is filed under the name uncultured bacterium. RNAcentral's name for it is "partial 16S ribosomal RNA". It matches the Rfam family "Archaeal small subunit ribosomal RNA", at positions 455 to 747 of the family's 1478-position model. The record is from RNAcentral.